AUUGAACGCUGGCGGCAUGCCUUACACAUGCAAGUCGAACGGCAGCACGGACUUCGGUCUGGUGGCGAGUGGCGAACGGGUGAGUAAUACAUCGGAACGUGCCUAGUAGUGGGGGAUAACUACUCGAAAGAGUGGCUAAUACCGCAUGAGAUCUAUGGAUGAAAGCAGGGGACCUUAGGGCCUUGUGCUACUGGAGCGGCCGAUGGCAGAUUAGGUAGUUGGUGGGAUAAAAGCUUACCAAGCCGACGAUCUGUAGCUGGUCUGAGAGGACGAUCAGCCACACUGGGACUGAGACACGGCCCAGACUCCUACGGGAGGCAGCAGUGGGGAAUAUUGCACAAUGGGCGAAAGCCUGAUGCAGCAACGCCGCGUGAGUGAUGAAGGCC
RNAcentral lists this ribosomal RNA (386 nucleotides) under uncultured bacterium. RNAcentral's name for it is "bacterial SSU rRNA". It matches the Rfam family "Bacterial small subunit ribosomal RNA", at positions 30 to 416 of the family's 1533-position model. The record is from RNAcentral.